AUGAACGCUGGCGGCGUGCUUAACACAUGCAAGUCGAACGAAGCACCUCUAAUCGAAGAUUGAGAAAGCUUGCUUUGAUUGAUUCACCUUGAGGUGACUGAGUGGCGGACGGGUGAGUAACGCGUGGGUAACCUACCCUAUACAGGGGGAUAACAGUUGGAAACGACUGCUAAUACCGCAUAAGCGCACGAAGACCGCAUGGUCUAGUGUGAAAAACUCCGGUGGUAUAGGAUGGACCCGCGUCUGAUUAGCUAGUUGGUGAGGUAACGGCUCACCAAGGCGACGAUCAGUAGCCGACCUGAGAGGGUGACCGGCCACAUUGGGACUGAGACACGGCCCAAACUCCUACGGGAGGCAGCAGUGGGGAAUAUUGCACAAUGGGCGAAAGCCUGAUGCCAGCGACGCCGCGUGAACGAAGAAGUAUUUCGGUAUGUAAAGUUCUAUCAGCAGGGAAGAAAAAUGACGGUACCUGACUAAGAAGCUCCGACUAAAUACGUGCCAGCCGCAGC
RNAcentral lists this ribosomal RNA (509 nucleotides) under uncultured bacterium. RNAcentral's name for it is "bacterial SSU rRNA". It matches the Rfam family "Bacterial small subunit ribosomal RNA", at positions 29 to 518 of the family's 1533-position model. The record is from RNAcentral.